This 219-nucleotide long non-coding RNA is filed under the name Elaeis guineensis (African oil palm). RNAcentral describes it as "long non-coding RNA (EGUI_LNC039031)". The record is from RNAcentral. Lineage: Eukaryota; Viridiplantae; Streptophyta; Magnoliopsida; Arecales; Arecaceae.
CACAUGGGAAAUCAAGAAUGGAAGGAUGGUCACCUUUGGAGAUAAUGGCAAAGGAAAGAUCAUAUGUAUUGGUAAUAUUGGUAUCACUCCCUCCACUUGCAUUGAAAAUAUAUUACUUGUAGAUGGUCUUAAGUAUAAUCUUUUAAGUAUUAGUCAAUUAUAUGAUAAAGAUUAUAAAGUAGUUUUUGAAUCAUUUAUGUGUAUUGUAACUAGUCCCUC